Molecule: ribosomal RNA, 179 nt
Filed under: uncultured beta proteobacterium
Lineage: Bacteria; Pseudomonadati; Pseudomonadota; Betaproteobacteria
Description: partial 16S ribosomal RNA
Rfam family: Bacterial small subunit ribosomal RNA
Source: RNAcentral
UGGGGAAUUUUGGACCUGGGGGCAACCCUGAUCCAGCCAUUCCGCGUGAGUGAAGAAGGCCUUCGGGUUGUAAAGCUCUUUCGGCAGGAACGAAACGGUGAGCUCUAACAUAGCUUGCUAAUGACGGUACCUGAAGAAGAAGCACCGGCUAACUACGUGCCAGCAGCCGCGGUAAUAAA